RNA transcript from Passer domesticus (house sparrow), 6287 nucleotides. It is a transcript of the gene named von Willebrand factor C domain containing 2 like, with no coding region annotated. Lineage: Eukaryota; Metazoa; Chordata; Aves; Passeriformes; Passeridae. The record is from RefSeq and is a predicted model, not a curated record. The transcript has 5 exons.
GGGGAGCUGCAGACUGUGGAUCUGAGGGGAACCGGGCUGAGGAGAGCUCCAGCCGGUGCAUCUGAGGGGAACCGGGCUGAAGGGAGCUGCAGACUGUGGAUCUGAGGGGAACCGGGCUGAAGGGAGCUCCAGCCGGUGCUGAGGGGAACCGGGCUGAGGGGAGCUGCAGGCUGUGAUCUGAGGGGAACCGGGCUGAGGAGAGGUCCAGCCGGUGCAUGGAAGACAGCCGGUCUUACGGGAGCUCUGGCCGGUGGAUCUGACGGGAGCCGGUGGACCUGAGGGGACCGGCAGGUCUGAGCGGAGCCGUCGCCCCAGCCGGCGGCAGGCGGAGCAGCGGCCGGGGCGGGGGCGCCCCGCCCCUGCAUUAUUUUUUGGGUUUUACCCCCCCGGCUCUUCUCUGUUCUUCUUUUUUUUUUUUUCUUUUUUUUUCCUUUUUUUUUUUUUUCUUUUCCCACCACCCCCCUAAAACCGAAAUUAAUCCCAACAAGGGCAGGCAGGGAGCGCGGAGCCGCGCGGCGCGGGCAUGGCCGGCGCCCGGGCCGGGGAGUCCCCGGAGGGGCGCGGGGGCUGCCCGCCCGCCGGGCGCGGGGCUCCUGCGCCCGCCCUCCCCCGCCUGCCUCCCGCCUAACCCGCCAUCGCUCCCCCCCUUCCCCCGCCGAGGCGAAGCUGGAGCCGCAGGAGAUCCGCCGGGCACAGGGAGGGGACAGCGAUGGGUUGUUUUCUCUCCCCCGCCCGCCCCGAGAGCUGAGGAGAUGCAGCCCAAGUUCGCCGCGAUGACUCUGCUGCUGGCACCGGGGUUUCUCCGCGGCGUCGCAGCCUCCGGACCGCCUGAAUCCUGCUCCCUCUGAAUCGUCGGCGCCGGGUUAAAGCUCAGUUCUCAUGUUGUGGUUGCUGGGCUGCCGCGCUCCCGUUUUGCGAUGGGAGGUGGAGGAAAAGGGAUUGUCCGUGAGUCAACACCGAAAACGUGAUUAGGAUGAACUGCUUUCACUAAUCUGUUUCUAACCUUACAGUCCAUGUUGGCCUGUGACCCCUCUCAGCUUUCACAUCCAGCCUGAUCAGACCACAACACUGGUCUCCCUAUGGAAGCAGCUGUUUGUAUCUGGCUUUGAGGUCCCAUGGAGAUGCUGAGGAGGGGGAUGGCUCUUCAUAUCCAUGAAGCCUGGAUACUUCUGUUUGUGCUGCCUGGUUUGGUCACUCCAGCUGCCAUCAAUCAUGAAGAUUACCCCGCUGAUGAAGGGGACCAGACCUCCAGUAAUGACAAUCUGAUCUUUGAUGAUUACCGGGGGAAGGGCUGUGUGGAUGACAGUGGCUUUGUGUACAAACUGGGAGAACGUUUUUUCCCAGGACAUUCCAACUGUCCCUGUGUCUGUACUGAGGAUGGACCUGUUUGUGAUCAACCAGAAUGCCCUAAAAUCCACCCAAAGUGCACAAAAGUGGAACACAAUGGAUGCUGUCCAGAAUGCAAAGAAGUGAAAAACUUUUGUGAAUAUCAUGGGAAAAAUUACAAAAUCUUGGAGGAAUUUAAGCCCUCGCCAUGCGAAUGGUGUCGCUGCGAGCCCAGCAAUGAAGUUCACUGUGUUGUAGCAGACUGCGCCGUCCCCGAGUGCGUCAACCCGGUCUAUGAGCCAGAGCAGUGUUGUCCUGUCUGCAAAAAUGGAUCUCCAAGUGGCCUGUCACUGUCAGGGUCCAGCUCGUGGUGCCACCACCUCCGUCCCUCCUGCCUCAGGUUCUGCAGCAGUUCUGUGAGAACAUCCCUCCACUCUGCCUGUGCCAGAGCCUUUCCAAGCCAAAAUUCCCAGUGAGGUCUGCGUGCUCCCUUGGCCAGGGCUGUAGAGGUGCCUGUGUGGUGUUCCUGGGCCCUUCUCUCCUCACCCUGUGCUCUUCAUUCCCAGACCUCUGCUUGUCCCAGCCCACCCACUGCUGUGGGGUGAGCCCUGGUAUUGGGGUGUGUGCUUUAACUCCCUUUCUGUGCAGCACUUGGAGGUGGCUCUUCCCAUUUCCUUCUACCCUUUGGAUGUGGCCUGGGAACUGUGCAGGAUGCUGGGAUGGGGUCAUCCCUGCUGCAUCACCCCUCACAUCACUUCAUCUGAUUUUAUCUGUGAUCCACAUGAAAUGGGCUCCUCUUCUUGGCCAGCUCCAAGCAACUCUCACCGCAGUGCACAAAGGGAGAAAUUCCCUGUGCUUCAUUUUGUUGAGGGAUAAACAAAACAAAUAUUAUAAAUUUUUGGGCUGGGGUCUGGUUUUGCCUCUAGUUUAAUUUUUGUUGUCACCAGUCCUCAACAAAAGAAUUUGUUACCCAACGAGCCAGAUAAAAGCUAACAUAUCCACAGUGAAAUAUUUCCUGGCAAGUGUGCUUACUCAGCCUGGGCUUCUGAAGACAUUUGUGAUGGAAUACUGGGCACCAGGAAGACAUUUUGUAGAUAAUCUGUCACUGAGUCUUUAAUUAAAGUUUUAAAUUAUCAGGAUUGAUACAGAUUUCCAAGUAAAGAGGCUGAUCCUGCCAUCCACACACAGGAAUUCCUGAAAUGGCCAGAUUUUAAGAUUGCACUUAAACCCCCUUCAGUCCCAGUCUAUGCAAUGUGCUGGCUGGCUGUGCAGAUGCAAGGGAAUGUGCCCAGCCAAGGAGAAGAAGUGCUCCCCACGCCGGAUUUUGCUGGACUCCACCGUCCUCUCCCCAGGUCCUGGCAGCUGAAGGCAGUAGCAUAGCGUGGCCAUGUCACCCUGCAUGGUUGGGAAUUGCUGAUGGCAGCCAACUUUUGGGGCACUUGGUCACCCCCACGGCCACCACCCCCUUCAGGUGUGAGCCCGAGGGGCCACGGGAAGGACUGGAUGAUGUUCUUGGUGAUGACCAGCAGGAGUGUGAACUGUGGUGCCCUUUUAGCACAAUUGAAGCAGUGAUUUGAUUACCAACAGAGGAAAGAAAGGAUUGAUUUGAAAGCUGGUAGAAGAUCAAGACUGAAAAUGAGGAGGUGUAUGUGGACCAGACAGACACCAACCUGACAAAAUACUCCAGUGCUUGCUUUACUGUUUCUUGAGAAGUCAUUUCCCUGGAACUGAUUUUCAGCGGAUCUGUCCAUCUGAUCACUUCAAGGGGUUAAAGGCAUGUAGAUGCUGAACUUGCUGGUGAGAAUUAGACAUGAAAGCAUCUGUCAAGAGCUAGAUCCUCCAUUGCUUUGGAAAUCUGCAGCACUUGGAUUAUCCAGAUGCUCAAAUGCCCUGCUGGUCACAGCUGUUGGAAGAGGCCUCUAUAACAGUGAAAAGCUUUGGAAAAGUUGAAACUUCCAAAAUUAGCCAUCCUGGUUAGACAGCAUCAGGGAGGGCUGAGUUGAAUCUGCCACCUUGUGAAGUUUCAGAGGAAGUGAGACUAAGAAUGAUGAGGAAGAGGAAAAGCCUUUGGAGAACAAAAAAGCCCUGAACUGAGCAGCACUUCAUGUGACUAAGCCCAUCCUAGAGCUCAGUGCUCACACAAAGCCGGGGUGCUGGGCUGAGCAGUGCCAGGGAUGCUGCUGGAAGAGCUCCAUUCCCAGGGAGCUGCAGCCUGGAGCCAGCGGGACAGCAGCCCCUGAACCUGGUGUGGUCACCUGCACGGGUCACCCGCUGCUUCCCAAGCCUCUGUGUUCUCUGCCUCUGCCCAGCAAGCAAGAAAGGGAUCAUGCACAAAUUAAAGAUGGCAGGAAAAGGCUCUGAAAGCUGCUACCCUGAAUGUGUACCCCAGGUCCUAACCAUGCCUCUGUGCUUCCAGCACAGCCGAGUUCAGAUGAGUGUCACAGGCACCCUCAAGAGAAGGGUCAGGGUCAUGAGGAGCCUUUUGUGGGACAGAACCAGCUCCAAAGCUCUCUUUCAGCAGACACUGCUCUCAGAGAUGUGGCAAACACGUUACCUGCUCUGCAUUACUCUUCAAACUCAGAAAUAUUUAUGAAGAAGCUUUUGCUCAUCCUGGUUGUUCCCCCCUGGGGAGAUGUUGCUGAAGUUUGUGUGCACUGGCCUGUGAGAGUGGUAGUUCAAGGCUCACUGUCAUCAUGAUCGUGUCUUGUAGAGCAGGGCUGGGCUAGGGGAUUUUUGGAGGGGAGGGAAGAGUUCCUAGAUUCCCACUGGGAAGCCAGGUUCCUUUGCAGGAGCCUGGGCAGUACUGAAAUUAAAGCAGGCAUCGUGUUGCUGUUCCCCACCUGGUUCUUGGUGUGACUUUAAAAUACCCAAAGUGACUUUAUGAUGCAAUGACAUUGCUGUAAACCACUUUGCUGCAAGAGAAGCUGAAAGCCAAAUCCUGUGUCGGUGUCGCUUGGUGUAAAACACAGCAUGGUUUCACUCUGGUUUACUCCAGCUGAGGCUCUGACCUGCUGAUACCUCUGGGGGGCCCAGAGGCAUGGUGCAGGAGGCUGGGGUGUUUUGCAUGGUCAGGGGUUCUGGAAGGAGUAGAGAGGGUUUGCUUUGGCUGCUCUAGAAGGUUGGGAGUGUGAAGCAUAUCUGUAUGAGAGUGGCAGACACUGUCUUCAUGUAUUUCUGAUUUGAUGAAUGUUUAAUGCUUCUUUAUUGGAGCCUACACAUAUGUAGAGUAGAGGUCUUUAAGAAGGGGUUGACUUAUUUCAAAUAAUUUAUGUCUGAGCUUCUCCUUUUACAUGAAAUGCAGACUUUACAGAGACUGUAAUGAAAAUAUGAAUUAAAGAUUAGAGCUAAGCAAGUCUGAGAACACUUAGAAUUAAGAAAGACACAAGUUUUUUCCUCCUGCUUCCUUUCCUUUUCUCCACCUUUCCUAUAUCUCCGUCUCCUUUGGCUGGGUGCUGCAUUCCAGGGCAGCCUUCUGUCCCUCCCACAUGGGCACAGCUCUGAAGGGCAGCAGGGCAGUGAUUUCAGCCUGGCUGUUACUGUGUGGCCGUGCAGCACCCCAGCCUGUCACUUGCCAGCUCACCCAUCUCUUUGGCUGGAGACACUAAAAAGUGGGUUGAAGGUGUGUUUUCCUUCAUCUCUCUCCCUGAUUUGCUGGUGAACUGCAUCACCUGGGCAGAGCAAAGAUAAGUGCAGUUUUGAUGGAGCUGUUUGCCAGAGGGACCCUCAGUUUGGUGCAGCAGAGCCAGGUGAGGGUGCAAGGACUCGGUGUGCAGGUGGCAGUGGUGCUGCUGUGUGACAGGAUUCCUGUAGGACAGGGAAAGGCUGGGACAGUGCCAGCCAUCACAUAAGUCCCUGUUGUGCAAGGUGCUCUGCUGUCCACAAACAUCAGCAUCCAUCUCCUUCCCCCCUUUGGCCCACUCCAGCUGCCUUGCUCCUUGCUCUGCCUUUGCACGGGUGCCUUCAGCUGUCAGUGCAGGUCAGGGCACUGCUGCUGCAGCACAGGCUGCCCUGGGCUCCAGCCCUGCAGCACAGGCUGCAGAAGAGCUUGCCUGGUGCAGGGCUUCCUUUCUUGCUCUCCUUGUGCUGCUCUGAAUUGCUGCCCAAGACUGAAGAGCUUAGGCUUGGUCAUGAGCAAAUAAAAGCCUGGUGGGAACAGGAGAGGAUGUUGCUUUCUUUGCUGUGGCAGGUGAGGUUGGCCUGAGUCUUUGCAGCUCUGGCCAUGCUGAUGCAGCUCAGGGGUAGAGGGGUUGCCCAUGGGACCCUAUCAGCACUUCGUAGUGGGAGGUGAACUCCAGGAUGUCCAUGCUGCACUUGUACCCGCUUCUGGAAUAAUAAUCCCCUCAGGGAACUCAUGAGGAGUUCAAAGAAAAAGGAGUCAUUACAGAACAGUAUCACAACUGAUGUACCCCAGGUCCUAACCAUGCUUCCACCACAGCAGACUGGUGUAACUCCUCUUACAUCAACUAACCACAGUCUGCCCCAGUUACAGAUGUUUUGUGCCAGGUAGUGCUGGAAGGGAAGCAGUUUGUUAGAAUAAAUGGAGCAGGAGAUGGUGCUCCAAAAAGAGGAGUGCUGGUGUCCUGCCCAGGGAUCUGUUGGGAACAGUCUUCUUCUGUGAAGAAGAACACACAAAGUUCUCCGCAGGCUGCCAAAGUUCUGACUUUUUUCACUGCAGCUGCCUGAAAGUAUUUGAAGAAGAUGGGAAUAUGUUGGUCAGAAAAUGCUGACUCACUGAAAGCUCCCUGGGAAAAGGGCCAAUUACAGCAAACUCGCUGCUCCUAUGUUAGAAAGGUUUGGGAAAAAAAUGGAAGUGAUGAGAUGCCCCAGUUAAUGCUUUCAGAACAAACUCCCUCAAAUCUGGGAGGAUAAAAGGGUGGCGUGGUUUUAGAUGUAGAUCUUUAUUUUAUACUUUGGAAUAUUUCACUGGGGAAGACAGAAACAAAGGGGCUUUUUGCCUUAUU